RNAcentral lists this ribosomal RNA (167 nucleotides) under uncultured Akkermansia sp. Its description in RNAcentral is "partial 16S ribosomal RNA". It matches the Rfam family "Bacterial small subunit ribosomal RNA", at positions 342 to 520 of the family's 1533-position model. Lineage: Bacteria; Pseudomonadati; Verrucomicrobiota; Verrucomicrobiia; Verrucomicrobiales; Akkermansiaceae. The record is from RNAcentral.
CGGGAGGCAGCAGUCGAGAAUCAUUCACAAUGGGGGAAACCCUGAUGGUGCGACGCCGCGUGGGGGAAUGAAGGUCUUCGGAUUGUAAACCCCUGUCAUGUGGGAGCAAAUUAAAAAGAUAGUACCACAAGAGGAAGAGACGGCUAACUCUGUGCCAGCAGCCGCGG